Molecule: ribosomal RNA, 485 nt
Filed under: uncultured bacterium
Lineage: Bacteria
Description: bacterial SSU rRNA
Rfam family: Bacterial small subunit ribosomal RNA
Source: RNAcentral
GAUGAACGCUAGCGGCAGGCUUAAUACAUGCAAGUCGAGGGGCAUCAAGGUACACGAAAGUGUAUUGUUGGCGACCGGCGGACGGGUGAGUAAUAGGUAGGUAACCUACCUCAUACUGAGGCAUAGCUGGGAGAAAUUCCAGGUAAUUCCUCAUGAGGUUAUAUGACACAUGUGAUAUAAUCAAAGGUAUCGCAAGGUACUGGUAUGAGAUGGGCUUACUGACCAUUAGCUAGUUGGUGAGAUAAGAGCUCACCAAGGCGAAGAUGGUUAGGGGUUUUGAGAGAGAGAUCCCCCACAUUGGAACUGAGAUACGGUCCAGACUCCUACGGGAGGCAGCAGUAGGGAAUAUUGGGCAAUGGGCGGAAGCCUGACCCAGCCAUGCCGCGUGAAGGAAGACGGCCUUAUGGGUUGUAAACUUCUUUACUAUGCGACUAACUAGAUUUACGAGAUAAUUCUAAUAGAAUGUAGCAUAGCAAAAGCACCGG